Molecule: ribosomal RNA, 90 nt
Filed under: Mycolicibacterium frederiksbergense
Lineage: Bacteria; Bacillati; Actinomycetota; Actinomycetes; Mycobacteriales; Mycobacteriaceae
Source: RNAcentral
AACGCCCGGUCCCAUCCCGAACCCGGAAGCUAAGCCUACCAGCGCCAAUGAUACUACCCAAAAGGGUGGAAAAGUAGGACACCGCCGAAC